ACGAAUUUAGCUCAGUGGUCAGAGCAGGACUUAAUUUAUUAAGUCAAGGACGUGGGUUCGAUUCCCAUAUUUCGUU
RNAcentral lists this transfer RNA (76 nucleotides) under Flammeovirga sp. SJP92. It matches the Rfam family "tRNA". Rfam says of the family: Transfer RNA (tRNA) molecules are approximately 80 nucleotides in length. The record is from Rfam by way of RNAcentral. Lineage: Bacteria; Pseudomonadati; Bacteroidota; Cytophagia; Cytophagales; Flammeovirgaceae.